Molecule: long non-coding RNA, 1317 nt
Filed under: Lepeophtheirus salmonis (salmon louse)
Lineage: Eukaryota; Metazoa; Arthropoda; Copepoda; Siphonostomatoida; Caligidae
Description: uncharacterized LOC121117992
Source: RNAcentral
UUUUGUUAUUUCGCAUCCGUUUAGUUACAGCUAUAUACAUAUACAUAUCUACGUAUGUGCUGGACUCCCGUUCUCUACCUCAAGAAGGAGGAGUUGACGUUUACAUGUGUAUGACUACACACAAGGUUCAUUGACACGUUAUCACUUUUGUCUCUCUUUCGCUCUUAAAAAACCAGAGAGAUAGAUAACUUUGCCUUUUUCAAGACCCAGAAUGGACAAGACACAUCAACUCAACUGCACGCAACCUCUUCUCUCCUUUGCAAACUCAUACAAUAUGAUUUAGGAUGAAUAACCGUUCAUUUUCCGCCCCAAAAUGCCCUUAUUUUGCUAUUUGUCACGAGUCUCCAGUGGCUUUUUUUUAUAAAUUCACGAUAUGCCCGGAGUUUUUUUCCGGGGUUACAUCGAUUUUCAUUCGACUUAAAAAUAAAAUAAGGAAAUACCAAAAUCGAUUUCUAAAGUUCCAAAAUAAAUAGAAUUAACAUGUUUCCAUAUUGAGGUGCUCUUAAAUCACCACAAUGUCAACCCCUAAAACCGUCGCUGAAUGAGACGACAUGCGAUCGUCCUCUUUUUUGGAAAUCAAAAUAAGGUCAAUAAGGUGAUUAUGAGUCCAAUUAUAGGGAAGUGUUUGUCAAGUGGGGGCUUGUGACCAAAAUAUGGGACGCAUAUCUCUUAUAGAUGGUUUGAAUACAGGAAAAUGUUAUAUCCGGCACAAAAUAAGGUCUAUCUCAACCUCGAUUAAGGAUAAAAUAAAUAUUUGAAAUACAAAAUUGAUCCCACUAAUUAUAUAAAUACGGAGGGUAACUCUCACACGUACGCCAAGUACCAAAAAUUCUGUGCAGAUAACAUGGUACACUGAAGUCCUCCAUAGUGGCUGCAUGGGACAAAUUGAUAGAGGGGUUUGUCAUCAACUCCUGCAUGUCCUUCAUGCGACGUGUAAAGGCUGAGAUUUAUAAUGAAGGUGGCCAUAUUGAGUGAUUUUUUUUUUGAAAAAGCCUUGUCUACAUGUUUUGGCAACAUUAUUCUUUUUACCUAUUUUUGAAAAUAUAAGAUUAUUGAUGUAUUUCUAAAUCCAUCUCUCGAGUCCACGUUUUGCUGUCCUACCCUGUAUAUGUCCAUCCGGUCUGUUCUAAAUCUUAUGGUUGUGUCCAAAUCUAACACAAAAGUCGUCCCUUGGAACAAUGUUUUCUAAAUGAUAUAAUCAUAGAUAUGAUCCAGUAAUGUCAUCAUCAAUCUAAAUGCUUUUAGUUCCAAAUUCUUAUUGAAUUAUUUAUAAAUACGUUCAAAAUUGACCUAAAUAUAUUUCAUCUAUUCUGCUUA